AGAUACCCUGUUACUUAUAGUUAAAAUUUUUUGGAAUAGUAAUAAUAAUGAAAUUUAACGGAUUUGGCGGCAAGAUAGCUAUUUAGAGGAACCUGCCCUGUAAACGAUAAGCCACGAGAUACUCUACUUUUGUUUGUAAUCAGUUUGUAUACCGCUGUUGUCAGUCAGUUUUUUUAGAAAACUUUCUAUUAUGAUAAAAUCAACUACUUCAAGUAAAGGUGCAGCUUAUAUAAAAGAUAGAGGUGGGUUACAUUUAAAAUGAUUAAAACAGAUAAAGAUACUGAAAAUUCUUUUGAAGGCGGAUUUAAAUGUAAAGUUUAUGUAAACU
RNAcentral lists this ribosomal RNA (328 nucleotides) under Trevathana doni. RNAcentral describes it as "partial 12S ribosomal RNA". The record is from RNAcentral. Lineage: Eukaryota; Metazoa; Arthropoda; Thecostraca; Balanomorpha; Pyrgomatidae.